UACGGAGGGUGCGAGCGUUGUCCGGAAUCACUGGGCGUAAAGGGCGCGUAGGCGGCAUGCCAAGCGUGUGGUGAAAGCCCGGGGCUCAACCCCGGGUCGGCCGUGCGGACUGGCGUGCUCGAGCACUGUAGGGGCGGGUGGAAUUCCUGGUGUAGCGGUGAAAUGCGCAGAUAUCAGGAGGAACACCAAUGGCGAAGGCAGCUCGCUGGGACGUGACUGACGCUGAGACGCGAAAGCGUGGGGAGCAAACAGG
RNAcentral lists this ribosomal RNA (253 nucleotides) under uncultured bacterium. Its description in RNAcentral is "partial 16S ribosomal RNA". It matches the Rfam family "Bacterial small subunit ribosomal RNA", at positions 524 to 776 of the family's 1533-position model. The record is from RNAcentral.